GCUCUUGCAUAAAAACUGCGCACACAUACAUAAACAGAGCAGAAAACAUGCAUUAAAGGAUAGAUUCUCAUGACCUGCACGUUUUUUUCAAUAUGCGUGUCUCAGGGCGCAAUGUAAAACAGUUUUUUGCAAGUUUUAAAACAUAAUGCAGUAGCACGUGGAAAUCAUGGCACAGUCAAAUAGUUCCUUUAUAAAUACGAAAUACAGAUAACCGAUGCGCUCGAACUUAACUUAUCAAAUCAAUCCCUCAGGAUUUGAAUACCUCAUGCUCCUCCAGAUGUUAAUGCACGACAAAAAUCUUAAAUAUUACUCAUGGAGCAUUUUGUAGAAGGCAUAUAUAUUAUGUUGUGGGUAAAGUGGUUAACCACACUCAGUGAAAUUAUACAGAUGUAUAUAAUUAUGCUAAUAAAACAAUUUUCAAACAUCAAAGAAUAUUAAAAUAUGUACUGCAAAUAUGUGUGUAUAUUAUAUGUAAUCAUUAAAAUAUAUGCAUUCAUUUCUUAUUGGAAAAUUUGACUCAAACUUUAUAGAAAAUCAACUUCUAAUUACCUCCCUUUAUUUACAUGAAACGUUUAAUUCGGUAAUAUCUUUAUAAAUUAUGCUUUUUGGAGCCUAUGAUAUUGAUAAAUCUUAAUUUGGGCAUCAUAUUUAUGAUUUAAAAUCAUAAAAAAAAUGUGUUACAGGAUCAUUAACAUAUAUACAUGUACAUAAAUGCAGCAUGGAAAAGAACAAAAAAAACAACAAUGGAACAUCAUUCAUGUCUUUACUGAAUUAAGCACCUUAUCUAGCAAAUUUUCUCCUGUGAGCGAGUAGGCCAUCUUGUAGUUUUCAGUAUCAUAAAGUAUCGGUUAAAAUGUCCGCUGGAAUUGUACAGAAAAGUUAGAACUACUGCGUUUCAACCAUACGCAAAUAAGUGUAGAUUUUGGUGAGAUUGUUUGCUUUUAUUUAGUCAAGAUAUUGUUGGGAGAUAAAUCUGCGUUCUUAACCGUUAUUUUCCAUUGUUGGUCUAUAUUUUAUUGCUACACAAUAAAUUAACAAUUCAUUUUUUUUUUCAUGAAUUAAUUUCUGGAGUAAUUUAAUAAUAUUUGUUACUUUUCUAUUUUAGGUGGAUCGAAAAGUAAGUUUUACAUCUUAUGAUAACUAUUCAUCAUAAUUUGAAUUAUAUAAAAAGCAUUACCAUUUGAAAUACAUAUAUUAGAUCGGCCGAAAUUAGAAUAAUUAACAAAGCAAAUUACGUCUCAGAAUUUAAAAUUUUGUUUGAAUUAAUUUUAUUUCAUAUAUUUUGAUUAAAAUAUAUUUGAAUAUCAUUAGUUUUAUAAUUGUUAACGAAUAAAUAGUGUUAUAAUUAACCUCGACUAUUUCCCGUCUGUACCGUUAUUUCUAUUGUGUUAUUUUAGAGGAUUGUGUUGACGUUAGUCCGUAUUGUGCACGUUACGGUACCAAAACGUGCCAGAGUAACAUUAUAUGGAUGAAACCAAACUGCAGAAAAACGUGUAAUUUCUGCUAACAAUGGCAAAUUUGUAUCACAAAGAGGAGAUGUUGGCAUCAGGUAAUGGCUUACCCGACAGAAAUGUAUGAGCUACCAGUUAAAACAAGUGAAGUUUGAAGUGAAUUUAUUUAUUGUUCUAUAUUUGACUUUAAAUAGUGACCUAUAUAAGUUAUAUUUGAAUAGUAAACUUAGAAAUAAAAAAUCUUUUUGUUUAUA
Long non-coding RNA from Ruditapes philippinarum (Manila clam), 1705 nucleotides. RefSeq lists it as uncharacterized. The transcript has 2 exons. The record is from RefSeq and is a predicted model, not a curated record. NCBI's taxonomy places the organism in Eukaryota, Metazoa, Mollusca, Bivalvia, Venerida, Veneridae.